UACGAAGGGGGCGAGCGUUGUUCGGAUUUACUGGGCGUAAAGGGCGCGCAGGCGGCUCAUUUUGUCAGGCGUGAAAGCCCCGGGCUUAACCUGGGAGGUGCGUUUGAUACGGAUGGGCUAGAGUUCGGGAGAGGAGAGUGGAAUUCCCAGUGUAGAGGUGAAAUGCGUAGAUAUCGGGAGGAACACCUGUGGCGAAAGCGGCUCACUGGACCACAACUGACGCUGAGGCGCGAAAGCUAGGGGAGCAAACAGG
RNAcentral lists this ribosomal RNA (253 nucleotides) under uncultured bacterium. RNAcentral describes it as "partial 16S ribosomal RNA". It matches the Rfam family "Bacterial small subunit ribosomal RNA", at positions 524 to 776 of the family's 1533-position model. The record is from RNAcentral.